AACGAACGCUGGCGGCAUGCCUAACACAUGCAGGUCGAACGAGACCUUCGGGUCUAGUGGCGCACGGGUGCGUAACGCGUGGGAACCUGCCCUUAGGUUCGGAAUAACUCCCCGAAAGGGGUGCUAAUACCGGAUAAUGUCUUCGGACCAAAGAUUUAUCGCCUUUGGAUGGGCCCGCGUUGGAUUAGCUAGUUGGUAGGGUAAAAGCCUACCAAGGCGACGAUCCAUAGCUGGUCUGAGAGGAUGACCAGCCACACUGGGACUGAGACACGGCCCAGACUCCUACGGGAGGCAGCAGUGGGGAAUAUUGGACAAUGGGCGAAAGCCUGAUCCAGCAAUGCCGCGUGAGUGAUGAAGGCCUUAGGGUUGUAAAGCUCUUUUACCCGGGAUGAUAAUGACAGUACCGGGAGAAUAAGCUCCGGCUAACUCCGUG
This 433-nucleotide ribosomal RNA is filed under the name uncultured bacterium. Its description in RNAcentral is "partial 16S ribosomal RNA". It matches the Rfam family "Bacterial small subunit ribosomal RNA", at positions 29 to 507 of the family's 1533-position model. The record is from RNAcentral.